UUUUCCCACUUAAAAAAAAAAAGACUAUUUUGCAGUUCCUUGAUUACUAACCUGCUUCUUAAAAAGUUUCCCGGAAUAAAACCAAUAAAUUGUGAAAACUAGGGUGUCCACAUAAUAUUAUGAAUAGGGACCAAAAUGUCCAGGACAUCCUGGAUCACCUGUGUGUGCAUGAAUACUUGUGUGUCUGUGUGAUUCUGUAAGACGCUCCAGGACAUGGAGUUAUCAUAUUACUACUGUCACUGUGUGCACUGGUGCAUGUCCUGGACAGCUCAUGUGUGCAUAAACAGCAGACUGAACUUCUACAUUUGAGAUGAUUUGCGUUUGAAACCAAAAAUCUGAUUUGUUUUUGGAAACAAGAUGUAUAUAAUUUAUAAUUUCAUUUGAGAAGUGCUAAAAUCUAAUUUGUUAAAGUAUAAUCUGAAAAUAAUCACUUGCUUUUCAUGCCAUGCUGAUUUCAUGGCGUUCUCUAACAAUAGCAAAAAAUAAAGACUUCAUAAGUGUAAGUCUGAAGUUGGAAGUUCUUAGGGUUUCUUUGCCUUUUAGUUGUCUCCCUCUGUUCUUCAUUUUUGAGGCUGUUGUGGUUGGCCUGCUCUUGGAGAUUUGUGACAUUUACGUCUGUCCUGGUUUCAUUUCUGUCAGUGUGAUAAAAUGCCCAGACAAAAAGCAAUUUAUGGGAAACAGGUUUUUUUCUCCUUAUAGUUCUAGGUUACAGUCCAUUCUUGCAAUUAUGUCAAGGCAGGAACUUGAUGCA
Molecule: long non-coding RNA, 751 nt
Filed under: Rattus norvegicus (Norway rat)
Lineage: Eukaryota; Metazoa; Chordata; Mammalia; Rodentia; Muridae
Description: long non-coding RNA NONRATT011680
Source: RNAcentral